GACGAACGCUGUUCGGCGUGCUUAACACAUGCAAGUCGAACGGAAAGGCCCUGCUUUUGUGGGGUGCUCGAGUGGCGAACGGGUGAGUAACACGUGAGUAACCUGCCCUUGACUUUGGGAUAACUUCAGGAAACUGGGGCUAAUACCGGAUAGGAGCUCCUGCUGCAUGGUGGGGGUUGGAAAGUUUCGGCGGUUGGGGAUGGACUCGCGGCUUAUCAGCUUGUUGGUGGGGUAGUGGCUUACCAAGGCUUUGACGGGUAGCCGGCCUGAGAGGGUGACCGGCCACAUUGGGACUGAGAUACGGCCCAGACUCCUACGGGAGGCAGCAGUGGGGAAUAUUGCACAAUGGGCGGAAGCCUGAUGCAGCAACGCCGCGUGCGGGAUGACGGCCUUCGGGUUGUAAACCGCUUUCGCCUGUGACGAAGCGUGAGUGACGGUAAUGGGUAAAGAAGCACCGGCUAACUACGUGCCAGCAGCCGCGGUGAUACGUAGGGUGCGAGCGUUGUCCGGAUUUAUUGGGCGUAAAGGGCUCGUAGGUGGUUGAUCGCGUCGGAAGUGUAAUCUUGGGGCUUAACCCUGAGCGUGCUUUCGAUACGGGUUGACUUGAGGAAGGUAGGGGAGAGUGGAAUUCCUGGUGGAGCGGUGGAAUGCGCAGAUAUCAGGAGGAACACCAGUGGCGAAGGCGGUUCUCUGGGCCUUUCCUGACGCUGAGGAGCGAAAGCGUGGGGAGCGAACAGGCUUAGAUACCCUGGUAGUCCACGCUGUAAACGGUGGGUACUAGGUGUGGGGUCCAUUCCACGGGUUCCGUGCCGUAGCUAACGCUUUAAGUACCCCGCCUGGGGAGUACGGCCGCAAGGCUAAAACUCAAAGGAAUUGACGGGGCCCCGCACAAGCGGCGGAGCAUGCGGAUUAAUUCGAUGCAACGCGUAGAACCUUACCUGGGUUUGACAUGGAUCGGGAGUGCUCAGAGAUGGGUGUGCCUCUUUUGGGGUCGGUUCACAGGUGGUGCAUGGCUGUCGUCAGCUCGCGUCGUGAGAUGUUGGGUUAAGUCCCGCAGCGAGCGCAACCCUUGUUCACUGUUGCCAGCACGUUAUGGUGGGGACUCAGUGGAGACCGCCGGGGUCAACUCGGAGGAAGGUGGGGAUGACGUCAAGUCAUCAUGCCCCUUAUGUCCAGGGCUUCACGCAUGCUACAAUGGCUGGUACAGAGAGUGGCGAGCCUGUGAGGGUGAGCGAAUCUCGGAAAGCCGGUCUCAGUUCGGAUUGGGGUCUGCAACUCGACCUCAUGAAGUCGGAGUCGCUAGUAAUCGCAGAUCAGCAACGCUGCGGUGAAUACGUUCCCGGGGCU
RNAcentral lists this ribosomal RNA (1347 nucleotides) under uncultured bacterium. RNAcentral describes it as "partial 16S ribosomal RNA". It matches the Rfam family "Bacterial small subunit ribosomal RNA", at positions 28 to 1381 of the family's 1533-position model. The record is from RNAcentral.